Oreochromis aureus is the source of this 291-nucleotide long non-coding RNA. RefSeq lists it as uncharacterized. The transcript has 3 exons. Lineage: Eukaryota; Metazoa; Chordata; Actinopteri; Cichliformes; Cichlidae. The record is from RefSeq and is a predicted model, not a curated record.
CCUAAUCAUUCAUUCAUUCUUCAAUAACAUAACUAUACGCUGAAUAUGUCUAAUAAUUUGAAGUCUCCAUCUUUGUCCUGUCAUGUGUUGAUUUCUCUUCUCGUGAUGCCAGACUGUGCCUGAGGUUACCAGAAGAGACACCAAGAGUCCUGCUGGGUCUUCAUCAGGAAAUCACGUUGAGGAUGAAUUUAAUGAUGAAGACGACACAAUCAUAGAAUCAGUGAGUUCUCUGAUAUUGUGUUAAUCUUUGUCUUUAGCAGCUAUAAAUGGUCUUUUGUUGUUAUACGUUUA